UACCUACGGGGGGCAGCAGUGGGGAAUAUUGCACAAUGGGGGAAACCCUGAUGCAGCGACGCCGCGUGAGUGAAGAAGUAUUUCGGUAUGGAAAGCUCUAUCAGCAGGAACGAGACAAGACGGUACCUGACUAAGAAGCCCCGGCUAACUACGUGCCAGCAGCCGCGGUAAUACGUAGGGGGCAAGCGUUAUCCGGAAUCACUGGGUGUAAAGGGAGCGUAGACGGCUGUGCAAGUCUGGAGUGAAAGGCGGGGGCCCAACCCCCGGACUGCUCUGGAAAAUGUAUGGCUGGAGUG
RNAcentral lists this ribosomal RNA (296 nucleotides) under uncultured bacterium. RNAcentral's name for it is "partial 16S ribosomal RNA". It matches the Rfam family "Bacterial small subunit ribosomal RNA", at positions 335 to 648 of the family's 1533-position model. The record is from RNAcentral.